UACGUAGGGUGCGAGCGUUAAUCGGAAUUACUGGGCGUAAAGCGUGCGCAGGCGGUUCGUUAAGUCAGGUGUGAAAGCCCCGGGCUCAACCUGGGAACUGCAUUUGAAACUGGCGGGCUUGAGUAUGGCAGAGGGGGGUGGAAUUCCGCGUGUAGCAGUGAAAUGCGUAGAGAUGCGGAGGAACACCGAUGGCGAAGGCAGCCCCCUGGGCCAAUACUGACGCUCAGGCACGAAAGCGUGGGGAGCAAACAGG
Molecule: ribosomal RNA, 253 nt
Filed under: uncultured bacterium
Lineage: Bacteria
Description: partial 16S ribosomal RNA
Rfam family: Bacterial small subunit ribosomal RNA
Source: RNAcentral